UGUUUUUCUGUGAUGCAAGUUUCCAUGCCAAUUGUAACUACCCAGCAGUGCUGGCUGAAAAAAAAAAAAUGUACUGUAAGCAUUAUCUGACUUCUUCCAGCAAAGAAAUCUGAUGCCCAACAUGAAUAAAAACAAGUUUUUGGACAUCUGAGACUACACAAGAAGAGUAUGGACCAAAAUUUUUUAUGGGGUACAAAAGUUGGAAGAUCUUUCUUCUAUAAUUGCUUCUCUGCUGGACAUGGACAUUGGCAGGGAAGAAAAGCUUGUCUACGAAUCAUGAUUCAUGGAUUUUACAGCCUUGGGCAAACAGUGCUGCCAGCUGAUCCAGGCUUACAGAUUCAGGACAUGAACCUCUUCAGCUAACACUAAGGUUUCUUUACAAUUAGUGGAGGUGAGAGGAAUGAGAAAGAGCUUUUAGGAGGACUCCGGAGACACUUUUAAGUAUCUAUGACCAGAAGACAAUGCUGUGGCAAGGAGCUGCCAAGUUGCAGACGCUACCAUGAUGCCAUCCUGACCUCCCUGGACAGAUGACCUCACCACUGUGUCCUGGAAUGACACCUCUCCAGAGCCCUACCCCACUAAGAAAAAAAUAGAAACAGGCUGGGGGUAUGGAUCGACCUGCCAAUGACCAUGUUCAGUGGAGAAGCAAUUACAGAAGCUAUAUUUUCCACCUUCUGCAUACCACAAAGAAUUUUGGUCCAUACUCUGAAAGAGGGAUAAAGAAUAGAGAAGCUUCCAAUAGAAGGGAUGGGACACCGAAUUCUGAUAUUGGGAACUGUGUGAAUGUAUACCCCUGUUAUCGUACAAUCUUGUUAAUCAUUAUUCAAUCACUAAUAAAAAUUUUUAAAAACUCUAAA
This is a long non-coding RNA of Erinaceus europaeus (western European hedgehog), 857 nucleotides long. RefSeq lists it as uncharacterized. Lineage: Eukaryota; Metazoa; Chordata; Mammalia; Eulipotyphla; Erinaceidae. The record is from RefSeq and is a predicted model, not a curated record. The transcript is spliced from 4 exons.